Molecule: long non-coding RNA, 931 nt
Filed under: Equus caballus (horse)
Lineage: Eukaryota; Metazoa; Chordata; Mammalia; Perissodactyla; Equidae
Description: lncRNA (ENSECAG00000051498.1)
Source: RNAcentral
AGUUUUAAAUCCAGCUUUUCAUAUUACGAUCCUUAAUGAGGGACCCCACAAUAUCAGAUGAAGAAAGACAAAGAGAAUUUUUGAUGAAAAAAAAAUCAGGGAAAAGGAAAAGAUGACUGAGAAUAUGCAAACUUUGUCUGCCGAUGUUUGCGCACAGGGAGAAUGCUGAAGGGACUUCUUUCCCCCUCUAACCACCUAUUAAGGAAGGCUGCAUAACAAAUAGCAGACUAUCCCCUCAAGAGCUGAAAGUUUCUCAAAGACGAAGCUUUUUUAAAAAAAUUUUUGGGCCUGUAUCUAUCAGGCUUUCUUUCUUUUCCAACAAAAUGUCCCGUUCAGCGCUCUAAUAUUGAGAUAAUGAGAGGUGAUAAAGUCAAAGAACCACCUUCUUGGAAACACCUGAAGUAGUUACACUGACACUCUUCCAUCCCCACUCCUCGGAGCUCUGCCAGCAAGCAGCACUUGGAGCAUCAAAUUGUAAAGUUCCAGCAUCCCAGGGCAUCUAAAGUGUCAUUUCCUCUCUGGAAAGAAAGGAAGCAGAAAACAUGCUAGGCUUCAGCUGAGGCCCCACUUUCUGCCUGACUAAGAAGAUGACCAAGUGAUGACUGCCUUCUCUGACCUCUUGGCUCUAUCAGCACUGUAGUACCAGCAUUUCUCAGACGCCGUUUCCUGUUGGUGUGAAUUACUCUCUGACAAGAUUGUAAACCCCAGGGCAGGGUUGGGGGAAAAUAAUUUCGGACAAUUCUUUUGUAUUUUGGAUCCUUAAAGUGAAUAGUUUGCUCACUUAAAUGCAGUAUCGCGUCUUGAUUGUUCCUGGGUUUAGGUCGAGACAUUUAGGCUGUGAAUAGCCAAUUAAUAUGCCUCAGGUCAAGGCAGGAGAAAGGAAAUCAACUUUUUGUUGUGUUUACUGUGUUCAAGAAAUCAAGAAAUCAUG